This is a long non-coding RNA of Vespa crabro (European hornet), 666 nucleotides long. RefSeq lists it as uncharacterized. The transcript is spliced from 2 exons. NCBI's taxonomy places the organism in Eukaryota, Metazoa, Arthropoda, Insecta, Hymenoptera, Vespidae. The record is from RefSeq and is a predicted model, not a curated record.
UAAUGUCCUCAUUAUGCGCCUAUUAUAUCGAUAUAUAAGCUUAUGGAAGUUAAACCCCUUUCAUGCAUAACCUAACAAUAGCAUUAGUAUGUGACAGAAAAUUUUUGUAUGCAGUUCAAAUAGUAGUACAUCUGAUAAAAUUAAAUUUAUACAAAUAGUUAAAGAUAGAAAAUCACUGAUGAAUAUCUUGAAUUUUGUAAUAUGUGGAUAUGAUAACGAAGAUAAGUAUAUAAAAUAGAAAAUUAUAAUAUUUAAUCUGAAAAACAUAAAUAAAAAUAAAUAAAAAUAAAUGAAAAUCAAUCAUGAUAAAUAAGAAUAAUAAAGAAAUGAGAAUUUUUCAGUGCUUAUCUAAGUAAUUAUUUUAGAAUUCUAUUAUAUUUAAUCUAUUUAUCUACCGAAAUAUGUUAGUAAUAAUAUGUAAAAUUUAAGAUGCUUUUCAUUUUAGAAUUAAAAUUAACAUUUGUUUUCUUUAAAAAAAAAAAGUAAAAGAAAAUAAAAAAUUCUUGAUCCUAAUCUAAAUAAAGUUCGAGGAAUUAUAGAGGAGAAACGUAUAUUAAUUAAUAUAUUAAUUGCUGAAAAUCCUGAUUCUACAAUGUGCUGUUACUACACACUUAUAUUAUAUGCAUAUUCUAUAUAAUGUUUAAAUAAAUGUAAAAUAAUCAAAAA